CCCUAUGGGGUGCAGCAGGCGGCGAUCGAAAUGGUGGAUAUUACUGAGGCCAUCGCUCAUGAAGAGCACUCGAUUAUGCAGUUGUUCAAGCCGGGUUUGCGCAUGGCAAUGAUGAUUGGUUUUGCCUUGGCGAUAUUGCAGCAGAUUACCGGAAUCAACGUCGUGCUGUAUUACGCGCCGGAAAUUUUUAAGAGCGCGGGCUUGGGAGCGACGGCGGCGAUAGCGCAGACGGUUAUUGUGGGGGUGGUGAACCUUGGAUUUACAGUCGUAGCCAUCCUGGUGGUGGAUGGUCUGAGCCGAAGACCAUUGCUGUUGAUUGC
Molecule: ribosomal RNA, 320 nt
Filed under: uncultured prokaryote
Description: partial 16S ribosomal RNA
Source: RNAcentral